Molecule: long non-coding RNA, 760 nt
Organism: Lagenorhynchus albirostris (white-beaked dolphin)
Lineage: Eukaryota; Metazoa; Chordata; Mammalia; Artiodactyla; Delphinidae
Exons: 3
Source: RefSeq, a predicted model, not a curated record
AUUACAGGAGCUACUCUUUAGGAAGCACUGAUGAUGUGCCAGCGCCUCACAGCAGCCCCAUGACAUAGGUACUUUAUUCACGUCACUUACAGAUGAGCAAGCUAAAACUCAGAGAGGUUAAGUCAUUUGUUCUGGGUCACACAGCCAACUCUCAAGGCUGUGCCUGGAUGACUCCAUUACCACCAUCCUAAACGAUGUCCCAAAGUGAGGAAAACACCAUAAACUGAGCGAUUGACUUCUAGGUCCCAGGGACUGCUAAGUGUCCUCCCAAGAACCAAAGAUGAUUUAUCCGUGGGUUUUGUCUGAACACACAAUAGGGGUUUUAUCCUCAUCUCUGGGGUUCUCUCGUGUGAUUUGGAAGCAGCAGAUCUGCAUGUCCGUGGGAGAGGGGUGAUUGGGCCAGCUCUCAUGUGAUCCGGAUCUGCCAGCCUGGAGCAACCACAAGCCCAAGGGAGCCCCGGGAAGGACCUCGUGAGAAGCAGUCGGUGAGUUGAAACAGGAGGUGCCAGGGACUGUCGCACACACUCGGAAACGUGAGCUAGGACAGUGCUUGGCAUGCCAGAAACUCUCCAUAAAUGUUAGCUGUUAUCAUCAUCAUCAUCGCCACGGAUUCUUGACACCUUGCUUUCCAAACCUUCACCUGCACAUGGUUCUCCUGGGAGCUUAGUCAGGUGCAGUUUCCGACUCAGAAGAUCUUGGGAGAAGCCUGAGAUCCUGCAUUUCUACCAGCUCGCGGGGAUGCUGCUGGUACACAGACCAC